Molecule: transfer RNA, 73 nt
Filed under: Planctomycetaceae bacterium
Lineage: Bacteria; Pseudomonadati; Planctomycetota; Planctomycetia; Planctomycetales; Planctomycetaceae
Also listed under: 1 other name
Description: tRNA-Glu
Rfam family: tRNA
About the family: Transfer RNA (tRNA) molecules are approximately 80 nucleotides in length.
Source: RNAcentral
GGCCCCAUCGUCUAGUGGCCUAGGACUCUGGAUUUUCGUUCCAGCAACUGGGGUUCAAAUCCCCAUGGGGUCA